CCACAGAUGAGUAUCGACUUUCUGGAGUUUCCCUUAUCUGACCAGAAGCAGCAACUUCCGGGAAAUAGGGUUGCCAUAAAUUUCCUCUUUGGGGAAAGUCUACUUACUCAUAAAUGCCCUCCCUGGGAGAGUUUUAUGGCUCUCCAGAAGACAGAAAGACCCCGCCCCCCAAACCUGUACAGACAAACAUUAUCACAAACUUCCUCAUCUCUGCAUUUGUUCUCCUGAAAACCUAUCUGUCUUUCCUAAAGAAUCCUGUGUGUUCUUCCCACAGAGCCUUCCCCUCCCACUUCCUCUCCCCUACUAAGUAUAUAAAUUCCAAAUUCUAACCCCCACCUUGGAGUUACUCAUCACGGAGUGUUCCCUCGGCUCUGAGUGCUACACACGCAAAUCUACUCUGUUUUCUUCUCUUACUACUGUCUUUAGUCAGUGCAAUUCAUGGAGCAGGACACUGCAAGUGAGAGGGUCCAGGAAAAGUGUUUUCCUCCUCUACUGACCUGAAGGAAUUAACAGGAAAUCUCGGAGCAAGUACUGAUCAAAGAGGUUGAUGGGGUGUGGGAGUGGGGGAGAGGAGUUUAGCCCUUGAUCUUUAUAGAAACGGUCUCAGUCCUAGACCUGCAAUGUCCAAGAGAGAGCAAGACAGAGAGCAAGCAGGGGAGAAACAGAGAGAGGGAGAUGCAGAAUCUGAAGCAGGCUCCAGGCCCUGAUCUGUCAGCACAGAGCCCAAAGUGGGGCUUAAACCCAUGAACUUUGUGAGAUCAUGACCUGAGCUGAAGCUGGAUGCUUAACUGACGGAGCCACCCAGGCGCCCCUAAUUCUGUCUUUUCAAAAUGUACCAGCGGUAUCUAGAUGAUGUUUUCAUUGGAUAACACUACCCUAGGAUUAUGCUAAAAACAUACAUGUAGAAAAUGUUUGGGAAGAAUCCGGAGUGGAAAGCAUGAAUCCUCUGGACCAAAUAGUGUUCUUUCUGAUAUAAAGGAUAGUGGAUUUUACCUUAUUUUUGGUUAACAAUACUUAAAUCAAUAAACAGAAGUAAUUAUAGGAAAAGAGACAUAA
Neofelis nebulosa (Clouded leopard) is the source of this 1056-nucleotide long non-coding RNA. RefSeq lists it as uncharacterized. The transcript has 2 exons. The record is from RefSeq and is a predicted model, not a curated record. NCBI's taxonomy places the organism in Eukaryota, Metazoa, Chordata, Mammalia, Carnivora, Felidae.